UUACGGCCAUAUCACGUUGAAACACCGGUUAUCGUACGAUCACAGAAGUUAAGCAACGUUAAAUCUGGUUAGUGCCGAGACGAGUGACCUUUUGGUAAUAGCAGGUGCUGUAAG
This is a non-coding RNA of Acanthosepion pharaonis, 114 nucleotides long. The record is from the annotation of a GenBank genome assembly. Lineage: Eukaryota; Metazoa; Mollusca; Cephalopoda; Sepiida; Sepiidae.